GUAAAGGCUGGGCUUAGACGUGGC
This 24-nucleotide non-coding RNA is filed under the name Drosophila erecta. Lineage: Eukaryota; Metazoa; Arthropoda; Insecta; Diptera; Drosophilidae. RNAcentral also lists the same sequence under 2 other names. The record is from RNAcentral.